AGGGACUUAGGAUAACAUUCAGACCAAGGACCUUCAAAGCCCUAAGCGGGAGUGAGAAUCUCCCAGUCCCUG
This 72-nucleotide transfer RNA is filed under the name Cestraeus oxyrhyncus (sharp-nosed river mullet). RNAcentral's name for it is "tRNA-Trp". It matches the Rfam family "tRNA". Rfam says of the family: Transfer RNA (tRNA) molecules are approximately 80 nucleotides in length. Their secondary structure includes four short double-helical elements and three loops (D, anti-codon, and T loops). The record is from RNAcentral. Lineage: Eukaryota; Metazoa; Chordata; Actinopteri; Mugiliformes; Mugilidae.